RNAcentral lists this ribosomal RNA (467 nucleotides) under uncultured bacterium. Its description in RNAcentral is "partial 16S ribosomal RNA". It matches the Rfam family "Bacterial small subunit ribosomal RNA", at positions 28 to 506 of the family's 1533-position model. The record is from RNAcentral.
GACGAACGCUGGCGGCGUGCUUAACACAUGCAAGUCGAACGGAAAGGCCCUGCUUUUGUGGGGUGCUCGAGUGGCGAACGGGUGAGUAACACGUGAGUAACCUGCCCUUGACUUUGGGAUAACUUCAGGAAACUGGGGCUAAUACCGGAUAGGAGCUCCUGCUGCAUGGUGGGGGUUGGAAAGUUUCGGCGGUUGGGGAUGGACUCGCGGCUUAUCAGCUUGUUGGUGGGGUAGUGGCUUACCAAGGCUUUGACGGGUAGCCGGCCUGAGAGGGUGACCGGCCACAUGGGGACUGGGAUACGGCCCAGACUCCUCCGGGAGGCAGCAGUGGGGAAUAUUGCACAAGGGGCGGAGGCCUGAUGCAGCAACGCCGCGUGCGGGAUGACGGCCUUCGGGUUGUAAACCGCUUUCGCCUGUGACGAAGCGUGAGUGACGGUAAUGGGUAAAGAAGCACCGGCUAACUACGU